GACGAACGCUGGCGGCGUGCUUAACACAUGCAAGUCGAACGGGUCUGCCCUGUUUUUUGCGGGGUGGGUCAGUGGCGAACGGGUGAGUAACACGUGAGUAACCUGCCCCUCACUUCUGGAUAACCGCUUGAAAGGGUGGCUAAUACGGGGUGUUCUGGCUGUGCCGCAUGGUGUGGCUGGGAAAGAUUCACUUUUGUGGUGUUUUGGUGGGGGAUGGGCUCGCGGCCUAUCAGCUUGUUGGUGGGGUGAUGGCCUGCCAAGGCUUUGACGGGUAGCCGGCCUGAGAGGGUGGGCGGUCACACUGGGACUGAGAUACGGCCCAGACUCCUGCGGGAGGCAGCAGUGGGGGGUAGUGCACAAUGGGCAGAAGCCUGAUGCAGCGACGUCGCGUGAGGGAUGGAGGCCUGCGGGUUGUGAACCUCUUUCGCCGGUGAAGAAGGUCCUGCUCUUUGUGGUGGGGUUGACGGUAGCCGGGUUAUGAAGCGCCGGCUAACUACGUG
Molecule: ribosomal RNA, 500 nt
Filed under: uncultured bacterium
Lineage: Bacteria
Description: partial 16S ribosomal RNA
Rfam family: Bacterial small subunit ribosomal RNA
Source: RNAcentral